GCACCGCAGAUGAGACCAAACCAGGUCGAAACAGCUGUCCAGUGC
This 45-nucleotide non-coding RNA is filed under the name Echinostoma caproni. The record is from RNAcentral. Lineage: Eukaryota; Metazoa; Platyhelminthes; Trematoda; Plagiorchiida; Echinostomatidae.